CUACGGGGGGCAGCAGUUAGGCAUCUUCUUCAAUGCGCGCAAGCGUGAAAGAUUGAGCCAGAGUGUUUUCCAAAUUUGGAAAGCUUUUGUGCACUUUAAAAAAGUGCAAGAAUAAGGACUGGGUAAGACGAGUGCCAGCCGCCGCGGUAAUACUCGCGGUCCAAGUCGCAGCCAUAUUUAUUGGGUCUAAAACAUCCGUAGCUUGCUUUGCAAGUUUCUUGUGAAAUUUUAUAUCUUAAGUAUGAAACGCGCAAGAAGUACUACAAAGCUAGAGACUGGAAGACGUAAGAAGUAUGUCCGAAGUAACGGUAAAAUGUGUUAAUCUUGGACAGACUACCAAUAGCGAAGGCAUCUUACGAGGACAGUUCUGACAGUAAGGGAUGAAGGCUAGGGGCGCAAAACGGAUUAGAUACCCGGGUAGUC
RNAcentral lists this ribosomal RNA (423 nucleotides) under uncultured archaeon. RNAcentral's name for it is "partial 16S ribosomal RNA". It matches the Rfam family "Archaeal small subunit ribosomal RNA", at positions 323 to 746 of the family's 1478-position model. The record is from RNAcentral.